AAUAGAUACCCGGGUAGUCCACGCCGUAAACGAUGAGUGCUAGGUGUUGGGGGGUUCCACCCUCAGUGCUGACGUUAACACAUUAAGCACUCCGCCUGGGGAGUACGGCCGCAAGGCUGAAACUCAAAGGAAUUGACGGGGGCCCGCACAAGCAGUGGAGCAUGUGGUUUAAUUCGAAGCAACGCGAAGAACCUUACCAGGUCUUGACAUCCUCUGACCACUUGAGAGAUCAAGCUUUCCCCUUCGGGGGACAGAGUGACAGGUGGUGCAUGGUUGUCGUCAGCUCGUGUCGUGAGAUGUUGGGUUAAGUCCCGCAACGAGCGCAACCCUUGACCUUAGUUGCCAGCAUUCAGUUGGGCACUCUAAGGUGACUGCCGGUGACAAACCGGAGGAAGGUGGGGAUGACGUCAAAUCAUCAUGCCCCUUAUGACCUGGGCUACACACGUGCUACAAUGGGUGGUACAAAGGGUUGCGAAGCCGCGAGGCCGAGCCAAUCCCAAAAAGCCACUCUCAGUUCGGAUUGUAGG
Molecule: ribosomal RNA, 527 nt
Filed under: uncultured bacterium
Lineage: Bacteria
Description: bacterial SSU rRNA
Rfam family: Bacterial small subunit ribosomal RNA
Source: RNAcentral